RNAcentral lists this long non-coding RNA (310 nucleotides) under Homo sapiens (human). Its description in RNAcentral is "HSALNT0409585". The record is from RNAcentral. Lineage: Eukaryota; Metazoa; Chordata; Mammalia; Primates; Hominidae.
GGCAGGGCAAAUAUUUACAACCCUCGUUUUACAGAAGAGAACAUUGGAACUUAGGGAGGUUUAAGGGAUGGCUGAGGGUCAGAACGUGGUCAGCACCAGAAGCAAGGCCUUUCAAUUGCAAGGUCAGGGUUCCUUCCACACUGGGACAAGAGGCAGCACCUGCAAGAUAAGUUGGAGUUUCCAUGGCACCCAGAAGACCAGGGAUCCUGAUAAUUUGUUGGUGCUGUAUAGAAGUGCAAUUCAUUGUUCAAUUCCCACCAGUGAUUGAGAACGUGCGGUGUUUGGUUUUUUGUCCUUGCGAUAGUUUGCU